RNAcentral lists this ribosomal RNA (120 nucleotides) under Pteropus alecto (black flying fox). The record is from RNAcentral. Lineage: Eukaryota; Metazoa; Chordata; Mammalia; Chiroptera; Pteropodidae.
ACCUAUGGCCAUGCCACCCUGAACAAGCUCGAUCCCGUCUAAUCUUGGAAGCUAAGCAGCGUCGGGGCCUCUUUAGUACUUGAAUGGGAAACCACCGAGGAAGACCAGGUGCUAUAGGCA